Molecule: ribosomal RNA, 497 nt
Filed under: uncultured bacterium
Lineage: Bacteria
Description: partial 16S ribosomal RNA
Rfam family: Bacterial small subunit ribosomal RNA
Source: RNAcentral
GAUGAACGCUGGCGGCGUGCCUAAUACAUGCAAGUCGAGCGAACAGACGAGGAGCUUGCCUCUCUGACGUUAGCGGCGGACGGGUGAGUAACACGUGGAUACCCUACCUAUAAGACUGGGAUAACUUCGGGAAACCGGAGCUAACACCGGAUAAUAUAUUGAACCGCAUGGUUCAAUAGUGAAAGACGGUUUUGCUGUCACUUAUAGAUGGAUCCGCGCCGCAUUAGCUAGUUGGUAAGGUAACGGCUUACCAAGGCAACGAUGCGUAGCCGACCUGAGAGGGUGAUCGGCCACACUGGAACUGAGACACGGUCCAGACUCCUACGGGAGGCAGCAGUAGGGAAUCUUCCGCAAUGGGCGAAAGUCUGACGGAGCAACGCCGCGUGAGUGAUGAAGGUCUUCGGAUCGUAAAACUCUGUUAUUAGGGAAGAACAAAUGUGUAAGUAACUAUGCACGUCUUGACGGUACCUAAUCAGAAAGCCACGGCUAACUACGUG